Molecule: long non-coding RNA, 1863 nt
Organism: Heterocephalus glaber (naked mole-rat)
Lineage: Eukaryota; Metazoa; Chordata; Mammalia; Rodentia; Bathyergidae
Source: Ensembl
GGAAUUGUGAAUGAGAUCAUGGGGGAGGGGUUGUUCUUUUGGCAACAAGGAACAUAAUAGGGCAGUAAUAAGUCAAAUGUUUCUAGGGCAGAGCCUUUCCUUGUCCAGCAGCCAUUGUCCUUUAACAUAUGCAAAUGAGCAAUGAUUGUGAUCCAAUCAAAGUAAGAUUGAUCCAAGCCAGUGUGAAGGCUCAUGCGCUUCACUUCCUGUCCACUUGUCUCUUAUUCUGCCAGAACUGGGCUUUGUUAGUGCUUCUCAAACCCUAGUGUACUUACUAAAGUCCUGCGGGAUCUCGUUAAAAUGCAGACUUUCAUUCAGCACUGUCCGUGGGGCCCGGAUUUGUGGGCGAUGCCUCACUUCUCACUGAGCGGCAAGGGCUGAGUGCCCCUUGAGACUCUGCCAGCCACCCAGACGUCGGUUUCCCCAACAGCCCUACGUUUGAGAUUUCCUGAACACUACCCAGUGCAACUUCCUCUUCUUUUUUGCUAGAGUUUGUCUUUUUUAGUCAGAAUUGGCAGGAAAGGAUUUCCUGAGAGUGGAGGCUGGAAGGCAAAGGGAAAUUACUGCCUUGAGGCAGCCAUUUCUUCAAUCAGUACGCAGCCUAAGCCAGGAUAGCAGAGGGAGUUUGGUCUGCCGGACUUUAAUCUGCACAUUGGAGGCAUGGCACUAUAACUCGGUCUGAUUCUCAUCUAAAAGCCCAGUUGGUUGUUAUUGUUUGGUUUUAGACUUAUGUCCCGUAAGAGUUUGCGUAGGCCUCACCCCCGAGAGGCCUCUCCAUCUUGUCUUGUGCCGACUCUCCAUCUUCUACGACUCGCCUUGGCCUCCCGUUCACUGCUUGUCUCCACUCUCACACUGCUCUUGUUGGCUCUGGCCAACUGCUGAGGAAGACAGGAUCGGAGCAUUCACAGACUUUGAAUAUGGGCAGACAGUUCAAACACCAAGCCAAUACCCUCAGCAUCUGUCUCCUUGGAAAGCACUUGAGAUUUUACAACACAGAGAGAAGAGGGACAGAAACUGUUCUUAGAAGGCUUGCCAUCAAGAAGGGUAGCAGACUUGUAUGUGCAUAACUCCAGAAACAAGAGGGCAGCAAUGAAGGCAUAUAGAGGAAGAGAGAAGGCAAAGGGGGCAUCAGCCGGGCCAGGCAGGACUGCCUGCUGGAACACAGGGUUUGCCCUGAACUUGCAGGGGGCCCAGGGAGACAACCGAAAAGCAAUUAAGUUUAGGACAGAGUGAGAUGCAGGGGAGUGCAUCUCUUCAAGGCAGAAUGAUGUGCAGAGAAGAGCACGGCUUUUCUGCGAGGGACUCCAGGGCAGAUGGAACAGAGGGUUUCCUGCGAUGUGCAAUGGGUCAUUCGAUUGGAAGACAGGAUGGACUUAGACGGUGAACUGCUCAGACCCAAGAGUUCAGUAUUCAGUCCCUGUGUUACUACUGCAGACAGACACUUUUGUUUAUCUCCCCGGCUGGUAUUACAUCCUCUUUUUUUCUUUGCUAAAAAGCCAUAAUGAUCAGAACUUUGCAUUUUACGUACUAUUGGGCCAUAUAAAAAUGGUUUUGUAGUUGUUUGGCUAGAGGAAUGGGGUAAGAGCUGAUUCAUUCUUUAUGUAGAAAACCCUGUGGAUAGUGGAAGGGCUGGGUAGGAGGGGAAGAGAUCUGAGACAGCCAACAUCAAAGUAAAGGCUCUGAGUAGCAAUAGGAUACACCUGAACAGCUUCCAGACUAAAAUAGAGCAAAACAAACAAACAAACAAACAAAACCCAGGCACAAUAACCUAGAAAGAUCAUAACACCCUGGCCACACUGGAAUGAAAACAACUCAUUUAUUUUGAUUUGCUUCAUUCUAAUGGACAACUGAGGUCAACUGCAG